ACCUCUAGUAGCCUGUUUCACUCCAGGCAGCUGCUUCCUGGGUCCAGAGGGUCCAGAGGCUGCUGUGGUGACUCUCCAGCUGGAGAACUGAGUUCCUCAGCCCUGGCUUGCUCAUGGGAAGGUGAGAAGAAGAGCACAUGUGGCCCUUCAGUCUGGGUCAUUUUGGUGCUGGGUCAUCAGCUACAGUGUAAACUGCUUCCUGGAUCAUCAUCAUCACCCUGAUGGCCCACAGCCCUGAGGGACACAGAGGCAGGCAGAUUCUUUACCACUGUGCCACCUGGAAAGCCCAGCAUUAGAAUACAUUAAUUAAUUUGGAGGCUCUUCAUAUUAUGGAAUGCCAUGCAGCAGCAUCUCAUGGUGUGGCCUGGCCCUGGGAGACCCUGAUAUCCUUUCAGGAAAUCUACAAGAGAAUCCCGUGGACAGAGGAGCCUGGCAGCUACAGUCCAUGGGG
Bos taurus (domestic cattle) is the source of this 451-nucleotide long non-coding RNA. The record is from Ensembl. Lineage: Eukaryota; Metazoa; Chordata; Mammalia; Artiodactyla; Bovidae.